GCAGUCGAGGGGUAACGGGGUGCUUGCACCGCCGACGACCGGCGCACGGGUGCGUAACGCGUAUACAAUCUACCUUGUAGAGGGGAAUAGCCCAGAGAAAUUUGGAUUAAUGCCCCAUAGUAUUAUGAAAUAGCAUUAUUUUAUAAUUAAACAUUUAUGGCUACAAGAUGAGUAUGCGUUCUAUUAGUUAGUAGGUAAGGUAACGGCUUACCUAGACUUCGAUAGAUAGGGGUCCUGAGAGGGAGAUCCCCCACACUGGUACUGAGACACGGACCAGACUCCUACGGGAGGCAGCAGUGAGGAAUAUUGGACAAUGGGCGAGAGCCUGAUCCAGCCAUGCCGCGUGCAGGAAGACGGCCCUAUGGGUUGUAAACUGCUUUUAUAGAGGAAGAAACACUCCUACGUGUAGGAGCUUGACGGUACUCUACGAAUAAGGAUCGGCUAACUCCGUGCCAGCAGCCGCGGUAAUACGGAGGAUCCAAGCGUUAUCCGGAAUCAUUGGGUUUAAAGGGUCCGUAGGCGGGACAAUCAGUCAGCGGUGAAAGUCUGUGGCUCAACCAUAGAAUUGCCAUUGAUACUGUUGUUCUUGAAUACUUAUGAAGUGGUUGGAAUAUGUAGUGUAGCGGUGAAAUGCAUAGAUAUUACAUAGAACACCGAUUGCGAAGGCAGAUCACUAAUAAGUCAUUGACGCUGAUGGACGAAAGCGUAGGUAGCGAACAGGAUUAGAUACCCUGGUAGUCUACGCCGUAAACGAUGGUUACUAACUGUUCGGUUGCAAGACUGAGUGGCUAAGCGAAAGUGAUAAGUAACCCACCUGGGGAGUACGUUCGCAAGAAUGAAACUCAAAGGAAUUGACGGGGGCCCGCACAAGCGGUGGAGCAUGUGGUUUAAUUCGAUGAUACGCGAGGAACCUUACCAGGGCUUAAAUGUAGAUUGACGGGGGUGGAAACACCUUUUCCUUCGGGCAAUUUACA
Molecule: ribosomal RNA, 974 nt
Filed under: uncultured Gillisia sp.
Lineage: Bacteria; Pseudomonadati; Bacteroidota; Flavobacteriia; Flavobacteriales; Flavobacteriaceae
Description: bacterial SSU rRNA
Rfam family: Bacterial small subunit ribosomal RNA
Source: RNAcentral